AUCUAUAUGUUAUACUCAGUUCUGUAGUUUAGGUAAGGUAAUUUUGGUUCGAUCGUUUCAUUGUUUGGAAUAUCCCCAAUUUGCACCGGAACAUGAAUUACAAAAAAUAAAGAACGUGCAAAGUGCACAGGAGGAUUUUCAACAUGGAACAAGGUACAGUUAAAUGGUUUAACGCAGACAAAGGUUUUGGUUUUAUUACUCGCGAAGAUGGCAAUGAUGUAUUCGUACAUUUCUCAGCUAUCCAAGGCGACGGCUUCAAGACUCUUGAAGAAGGCCAAUCAGUUUCUUUCGACGUUGAAGAAAGCGACCGUGGACCACAAGCCGUUAACGUUAACAAGCAGUAAAAACUUAAUUAACGAAUAACGUUUAAACUCCUAGUGUUAGUUUACUAAUACUAGGAGUU
This 403-nucleotide non-coding RNA is filed under the name Paucilactobacillus wasatchensis. The record is from Rfam by way of RNAcentral. Lineage: Bacteria; Bacillati; Bacillota; Bacilli; Lactobacillales; Lactobacillaceae.